Molecule: ribosomal RNA, 800 nt
Filed under: uncultured bacterium
Lineage: Bacteria
Description: bacterial SSU rRNA
Rfam family: Bacterial small subunit ribosomal RNA
Source: RNAcentral
AUAAUUGUCAGCUAAGUGGCGCACGGGUGAGUAAUGUAUAGAUAACCUGCCCUUAAGAAAGGAAUAACAGUUGGAAACGACUGCUAAUGCCCUAUAUGCCUUUAAUACAUAAGUAUGCAAGGGAAACGCUUUAGUGCUUAAGGAUGGGUCUGUAUGGUAUCAGCUUGUUGGUGAGGUAAUGGCUCACCAAGGCUAUGACGCCUAACUGGUUUGAGAGGAUGAUCAGUCACACUGGAACUGAGACACGGUCCAGACUCCUACGGGAGGCAGCAGUGGGGAAUAUUGCACAAUGGACGAAAGUCUGAUGCAGCAACGCCGCGUGGAGGAUGACACAUUUCGGUGCGUAAACUCCUUUUAUAUAGGAAGAUAAUGACGGUACUAUAUGAAUAAGCACCGGCUAACUCCGUGCCAGCAGCCGCGGUAAUACGGAGGGUGCAAGCGUUACUCGGAAUCACUGGGCGUAAAGAGCGUGUAGGCGGGUAUAUAAGUCAGAAGUGAAAUCCAAUAGCUCAACUAUUGAACUGCUUUUGAAACUGUAUACCUAGAAUGUGGGAGAGGUAGAUGGAAUUUCUGGUGUAGGGGUAAAAUCCGUAGAGAUCAGAAGGAAUACCGAUUGCGAAGGCGAUCUACUGGAACAUUAUUGACGCUGAGACGCGAAAGCGUGGGGAGCAAACAGGAUUAGAUACCCUGGUAGUCCACGCCCUAAACGAUGUACACUAGUUGCUGUGAGGCUCGACCUUGCAGUAAUGCAGUUAACACAUUAAGUGUACCGCCUGGGGAGUACGGUCGCAAGAUUAAAA